GUCGGCUACGGUGAUAUGCGUCCGGUGGGAUUUUUCGGCAAAAUUGUGGGAUCUCUUUGCGCGAUCAGCGGAGUGCUGACCAUCGCCCUGCCUGUACCCGUGAUCGUGUCCAAC
Molecule: regulatory RNA element, 114 nt
Organism: Hypsibius dujardini
Lineage: Eukaryota; Metazoa; Tardigrada; Eutardigrada; Parachela; Hypsibiidae
Rfam family: Potassium channel RNA editing signal
About the family: This family represents a group of sequences related to the human potassium channel Kv1.1 hairpin element which directs the efficient modification of an adenosine to inosine by an adenosine deaminase acting on RNA (ADAR). The ADAR modification causes an isoleucine/valine recoding event which lies in the ion-conducting pore of the potassium channel. It is thought that this editing event targets the process of fast inactivation and allows a more rapid recovery from inactivation at negative potentials.
Source: Rfam